Molecule: ribosomal RNA, 418 nt
Filed under: Xanthobacter autotrophicus
Lineage: Bacteria; Pseudomonadati; Pseudomonadota; Alphaproteobacteria; Hyphomicrobiales; Xanthobacteraceae
Description: bacterial SSU rRNA
Rfam family: Bacterial small subunit ribosomal RNA
Source: RNAcentral
GCAGUCGAGCGCCCAGCAAUGGGAGCGGCAGACGGGUGAGUAACACGUGGGGAUCUACCCAAUGGUACGGAAUAACCCAGGGAAACUUGGACUAAUACCGUAUGUGCCCUUCGGGGGAAAGAUUUAUCGCCAUUGGAUGAACCCGCGUCGGAUUAGCUAGUUGGUGAGGUAAAGGCUCACCAAGGCGACGAUCCGUAGCUGGUCUGAGAGGAUGAUCAGCCACACUGGGACUGAGACACGGCCCAGACUCCUACGGGAGGCAGCAGUGGGGAAUAUUGGACAAUGGGCGCAAGCCUGAUCCAGCCAUGCCGCGUGUGUGAUGAAGGCCUUAGGGUUGUAAAGCACUUUCGCCGGUGAAGAUAAUGACGGUAACCGGAGAAGAAGCCCCGGCUAACUUCGUGCCAGCAGCCGCGGUAAU